This 114-nucleotide ribosomal RNA is filed under the name Paraclostridium sordellii ATCC 9714. Lineage: Bacteria; Bacillati; Bacillota; Clostridia; Peptostreptococcales; Peptostreptococcaceae. The record is from RNAcentral.
GGUUACUAUAGCAAAGAGGAUACACCUGUUCCCAUUCCGAACACAGAAGUUAAGCUCUUUAGCGCCGAUGGUACUUGGUGGGAAGCUGCCUGGGAGAGUAGGACGUAGCCGCGU